GUGUAUAGAGAGUGCGGGCUUUGCCUGCCAUCUCUUACCCAUGUCUUUUGAGUACCUUCGUUUCCUCGGCGGGUUCGCCCGCCGGUUGGACAACACUUAAACCCUUUGUAAUUGAAAUCAGCGUCUGAAAAACUUUAAUAGUUACAACUUUCAACAACGGAUCUCUUGGUUCUGGCAUCGAUGAAGAACGCAGCGAAAUGCGAUAAGUAGUGUGAAUUGCAGAAUUCAGUGAAUCAUCGAAUCUUUGAACGCACAUUGCGCCCCUUGGUAUUCCAUGGGGCAUGCCUGUUCGAGCGUCAUUUGUACCUUCAAGCUCUGCUUGGUGUUGGGUGUUUGUCUCGCCUUUUGCGCGCAGACUCGCCUCAAAACGAUUGGCAGCCGGCGUAUUGAUUUCGGAGCGCAGUACAUCUCGCGCUUUGCACUCACAACGACGACGUCCAAAAAGUACAUUUUUACACUCUUGACCUCGGAUCAGGUAGGGAUACCCGCUGAACUUAAGCAUAUCAAA
This 508-nucleotide ribosomal RNA is filed under the name Stagonosporopsis cucurbitacearum. Its description in RNAcentral is "eukaryotic LSU rRNA". The stretch from base 146 to 299 matches the Rfam family "5.8S ribosomal RNA". The record is from RNAcentral. Lineage: Eukaryota; Fungi; Ascomycota; Dothideomycetes; Pleosporales; Didymellaceae.